This 405-nucleotide ribosomal RNA is filed under the name Hyalomma aegyptium. Its description in RNAcentral is "partial large subunit ribosomal RNA". The record is from RNAcentral. Lineage: Eukaryota; Metazoa; Arthropoda; Arachnida; Ixodida; Ixodidae.
AGUAUUUUGACUAUACAAAGGUAUUGUAAUAAGAUUUUAAUUGAAUGCUAAAAGAAUGGAAGUUUAGAAAAAGUCUUUUUAAAAAAUAAAAAUUAAAAUUUUUUUAAUUUGUGCAGAAACAAUUAUUUAUAUUAAAGACAAGAAGACCCUAAGAAUUUUCUGGUUCAAUAAUUUAUAUAUUUAAUUUAUUAAACCUUGGUUGGGGCGAUCAAAAAAUAUUAAUAACUUUUUUUCAUUAAAAUGAUCUAUUAUUAGUAAAUUAAUGAAUUAAAUACUCUAGGGAUAACAGCGUAAUAAUUUUUGAUAGAUCUUAUAGACAAAAUAGUUUGCGACCUCGAUGUUGGAUUAGGAUUCUUUUUUGGUGAAGAAACCAAAAAAAGAAGUUUGUUCAACUUUUAAAUUCCU